This 497-nucleotide ribosomal RNA is filed under the name uncultured bacterium. Its description in RNAcentral is "partial 16S ribosomal RNA". It matches the Rfam family "Bacterial small subunit ribosomal RNA", at positions 28 to 507 of the family's 1533-position model. The record is from RNAcentral.
GAUGAACGCUGGCGGCGUGCCUAAUACAUGCAAGUCGAGCGAACGGACGAGAAGCUUGCGUCUCUGAUGUUAGCGGCGGACGGGUGAGUAACACGUGGAUAACCUACCUAUAAUACUGGGAUAACUUCGGGAAACCGGAGAUAAUACCGUAUAAUAUUUUGAACCGCAUGGUUCAAAAGUGAAAGACGGUCUUGCUGUCACUUAUAGAUGGAUCCGCGCUGCAUUAGCUAGUUGGUAAGGUAACAGCUUACCAAGGCAACGAUGCAUAGCCGACCUGAGAGGGUGAUCGGCCACACUGGAACUGAGACACGGUCCAGACUCCUACGGGAGGCAGCAGUAGGGAAUCUUCCGCAAUGGGCGAAAGCCUGACGGAGCAACGCCGCGUGAGUGAUGAAGGUCUUCGGAUCGUAAAACUCUGUUAUUAGGGAAGAACAUAUGUGUAAGUAACUGUGCACAUCUUGACGGUACCUAAUCAGAAAGCCACGGCUAACUACGUG